This 512-nucleotide long non-coding RNA is filed under the name Ricinus communis (castor bean). RNAcentral describes it as "long non-coding RNA (RCOM_LNC001298)". Lineage: Eukaryota; Viridiplantae; Streptophyta; Magnoliopsida; Malpighiales; Euphorbiaceae. The record is from RNAcentral.
GUGUAUGUGUACAAAGGCAAUACUAAUACUAGUGUUCGAGUAAUUGUGGAGAGUGUCCUUCCUUAGUAGACCUCCUACAUGAAAAAAGGCAAAAAAGCACCAUUUUAUAGACAGACAGACACCAGAGUGAUCUUUAUUUCUGCAUGCACAAACACAAAAGAUUGCCCAAUUGCUUUUUCCUCACCAAAAAUUUAAUCAUUUCUUCAACUUCCUUCCUUUCCCUUUUUCACUUUACCAAAACCGCAAAUCACGGUCAAGAAUCUAUGGACUCAAAUUCCCACUACUGUCUACCCAGUCUCAUCUGCACUCACUUAGGGCACCCAUUAACACUUUGACCGUAUAAUUGAAGCCACCAAUGAAACCCCACCCACGUAAUGAGAUCAAGUUAACUUCCUACCAUGGAAUAACUACCGACUGUGCGUUGGUUACUCAGUCAGUGGGAAGUGGACCCGGGUUGUCUCGCUCCUUUUUUUUUUUGGUGGUCCGAGUCACCAACUCGGACCACCCCCGCC